UACGUAGGGCGCAAGCGUUGUCCGGAAUUAUUGGGCGUAAAGAGCUCGUAGGCGGCUUGUCACGUCGGGUGUGAAAGCCCGGGGCUUAACCCCGGGUCUGCAUUCGAUACGGGCUAGCUAGAGUGUGGUAGGGGAGAUCGGAAUUCCUGGUGUAGCGGUGAAAUGCGCAGAUAUCAGGAGGAACACCGGUGGCGAAGGCGGAUCUCUGGGCCAUAACUGACGCUGAGGAGCGAAAGCAUGGGGAGCGAACAGG
RNAcentral lists this ribosomal RNA (253 nucleotides) under uncultured bacterium. Its description in RNAcentral is "partial 16S ribosomal RNA". It matches the Rfam family "Bacterial small subunit ribosomal RNA", at positions 524 to 776 of the family's 1533-position model. The record is from RNAcentral.